GUGCGUCACUCGCCGAUCGGACGAUAAAUACCCCCUGCUCGCGAGUCGUAUGGCGCUCGCCUGUUCGACGACUGCCGUGGCAAGCAGGCAGCUGUAGCCGUGGAAGCAGGCAGCGGGCAAGACGGCCGGAUUGAACAACGAGCUCUCACACAACAACUAAAGUUUCUUGAAAGGAUCAAAAUGGAACUCUGCAGAGGUGGAGGUGGUAACAGCGAUAAAGCCUGGCUCGAGCAUGACGAUAACCCACUCCGACCAAUUUCCAAGUUCCAGGAGAGGAAGGUGGCCAUCAUGGCGGCCGAUAAGAUGCACCAGCUGCAGGUACUCCUCAUUCUCUCCGAUCUUGUAAACUUGGAACUGCAAGAGCUAGUAGCAGAGCGGCGGCGGCGUCCGAAGCAGGGCGGAUCCAAUCACCCCUGUUGUUUUCCAUGGAUGAAGUAGACCAGGAAGAAAGGAGAUGGGCGGGAUAGAUGAGUGCUCCAGGCAACAUAUUUGAAUCCACCAGUGUAUGAUGGAAAUGAAAAAAGGAAGUACCAUAUUGUAAUAUUCACAUGAAUAAGCUAAUAAAGAAGAUGCACCCUCUCUCUCU
Molecule: long non-coding RNA, 586 nt
Organism: Panicum virgatum (switchgrass)
Lineage: Eukaryota; Viridiplantae; Streptophyta; Magnoliopsida; Poales; Poaceae
Exons: 3
Source: RefSeq, a predicted model, not a curated record